Molecule: ribosomal RNA, 253 nt
Filed under: uncultured bacterium
Lineage: Bacteria
Description: partial 16S ribosomal RNA
Rfam family: Bacterial small subunit ribosomal RNA
Source: RNAcentral
UACAGAGGGGGCAAGCGUUGUUCGGAAUUACUGGGCGUAAAGGGCGCGUAGGCGGCCCGCUAAGUCGAACGUGAAAUCCCUGGGCUCAACCCAGGAACUGCGUCCGAUACUGGCAGGCUUGAAUCCGGGAGAGGGAUGUGGAAUUCCAGGUGUAGAGGUGAAAUUCGUAGAUAUUGGGAAGAACACCGGUGGCGAAGGCGGCGAGCUGGCCUUGAACUGACGCUGAGGCGCGACAGCGUGGGGAGCAAACAGG